This 406-nucleotide ribosomal RNA is filed under the name uncultured bacterium. RNAcentral describes it as "partial 16S ribosomal RNA". It matches the Rfam family "Bacterial small subunit ribosomal RNA", at positions 30 to 526 of the family's 1533-position model. The record is from RNAcentral.
AUUGAACGCUGGCGGCAGGCCUAACACAUGCAAGUCGAACGAGUGGCGGACGGGUGAGUAAUGUCUGGGAAACUGCCUGAUGGAGGGGGGUAACUACUGGAACCGGUAGCUAAUACCGCAUACCAUCCGAUGUUCCCAGAUGGGAUUAGCUAGUAGGUGGGGUAAAGGCUCACCUAGGCGACGAUCCCUAGCUGGUCUGAGAGGAUGACCAGCCACACUGGAACUGAGACACGGUCCAGACUCCUACGGGAGGCAGCAGUGGGGAAUAUUGCACAAUGGGCGCAAGCCUGAUGCAGCCAUGCCGCGUGUAUGAAGAAGGCCUUCGGGUUGUAAAGUACUUUCAGCGGGGAGGCGUUACCCGAAGAAGAAGCACCGGCUAACUCCGUGCCAGCAGCCGCGGUAAUUC